RNAcentral lists this small nucleolar RNA (71 nucleotides) under Mus musculus (house mouse). Its description in RNAcentral is "small nucleolar RNA SNORD52". The record is from RNAcentral. Lineage: Eukaryota; Metazoa; Chordata; Mammalia; Rodentia; Muridae.
GGGUAUGAUGACCCACAUUUACAGACUAGAGUUUCUGAUGUCCACGUGACGCCACUCCUUGUAACUGACCC